This 446-nucleotide ribosomal RNA is filed under the name uncultured bacterium. Its description in RNAcentral is "bacterial SSU rRNA". It matches the Rfam family "Bacterial small subunit ribosomal RNA", at positions 29 to 507 of the family's 1533-position model. The record is from RNAcentral.
AACGAACACUGGCGGCGUGCCUUAAGCAUGCAAGUCGAGCGGUGCCAGAGAUUAUCUGGUAUAGCGGCGCACGGGUGAGUAACGCGUGGUUAGCCGACCCGAAGACGGGAAUAGCCUCAAGAAAUUGGGGGGUAAUGCCCGGUAAUCCCUAAGGGGGAAAGCAGCAAUGCGCUUUGGGAGGUGACUGCGUCCCAUCAGGUAGUUGGGGGGGUAACGGCCCACCAAGCCAAUGACGGGUAGCCGGCCUGAGAGGGUGUACGGCCACACUGGAACUGAGACACGGUCCAGACUCCUACGGGAGGCAGCAGCUAGGAAUUUUCCGCAAUGGGCGAAAGCCUGACGGAGCGACGCCGCGUAAGGGAAGAAGGCUCUACGGAGUUGUAAACCUUUUUUAACAGGGAAGAGACAGGACGGUACCUGUGGAAUAAGCCCCGGCAAACUACGUG